Molecule: ribosomal RNA, 309 nt
Filed under: Triticum aestivum (bread wheat)
Lineage: Eukaryota; Viridiplantae; Streptophyta; Magnoliopsida; Poales; Poaceae
Description: partial small subunit ribosomal RNA
Source: RNAcentral
AUGCAAGUUCUGCUUUUGUUUGCUUAUUUGUUCAGUCACAUAGAAACACAAAGUGAAAACGAUCCAACCACUCCAGUUGAGGGCUUGAGAAUUCAGAAUUCUUCGGAUGAGUUCUUUCCCAGGGGAGCAGGAGUAAUAACUUUGACCACCAUGGCAUCAGCACAUUCAGUGUGUACAUCAGGUCAUCAGCAUAUGGUGGUACGGCAUUGCAGAUUACAGGGGGCUUCAGAGUUUAUACAUUUUAAGCCAAACAGAAAAUACCAUACAAACUGCAAUUUCCUAGCUCUUGAAGAAACAAGACAAUUUUGA